AGAUUGAACGCUGGCGGCAUGCCUUACACAUGCAAGUCGAACGGCAGCACGGGGGCAACCCUGGUGGCGAGUGGCGAACGGGUGAGUAAUAUAUCGGAACGUACCCUGGAGUGGGGGAUAACGCAGCGAAAGUUGCGCUAAUACCGCAUACGAUCUACGGAUGAAAGUGGGGGAUUCGCAAGAGCCUCAUGCUCGUGGAGCGGCCGAUAUCUGAUUUAGCUAGUUGGUAGGUAAAAGCUACCAAGGCAUCGAUCAGUAGCUGGUCUGAGAGGACGACCAGCCGACACUGGAACUGAGACACGGUCCAGACUCCUACGGAGGCAGCAGUGGGAAUUUGGACAAUGGGGGCAACCCGUGAUCCAGCAAGUGACCGCGUGACGUGAAGAAGGCCUUAGGUUGUAAGUCUCGUUUGUCAGGAAGAAACGGUUGGAGGCCGAACUACCCUCCGCUAAUACGACGUACCACGUAGAA
RNAcentral lists this ribosomal RNA (471 nucleotides) under uncultured soil bacterium. RNAcentral's name for it is "bacterial SSU rRNA". It matches the Rfam family "Bacterial small subunit ribosomal RNA", at positions 26 to 489 of the family's 1533-position model. The record is from RNAcentral.